ACAACAUUUGGACCGUUGGUCUAUCAAGCAAUGGUCACCCGCUCGGUGGAAGAUUUUCCUUUCGUUGU
This 68-nucleotide microRNA precursor is filed under the name Bombyx mori (domestic silkworm). RNAcentral describes it as "mir-2774 microRNA precursor family". It matches the Rfam family "mir-2774 microRNA precursor family". Lineage: Eukaryota; Metazoa; Arthropoda; Insecta; Lepidoptera; Bombycidae. The record is from Rfam by way of RNAcentral.